AACCAUUCUCACCUGCGGCUAGACCUGCGGAGGGAUCAUUAACGAAUAACUAUGGUGUUGGUUGUAGCUGGCUCCUCGGAGCAAUGUGCACGCCCGCCAUUUUUAUCUUUCCACCUGUGCACCGACUGUAGGUCUGGAUACCUCUCGCCUCCGGGCGGAUGCGAGGGUUGCUCGUGAGGGCUUCCCUUGAACUUCCAGGCUCUACGUCUUUUUACACACCCCAAUAGUAUGAUGCAGAAU
Molecule: unclassified non-coding RNA, 240 nt
Filed under: soil metagenome
Description: partial contains 5.8S ribosomal RNA, internal transcribed spacer 2, and large subunit ribosomal RNA
Source: RNAcentral